This 2925-nucleotide ribosomal RNA is filed under the name Leclercia sp. W6. Its description in RNAcentral is "bacterial LSU rRNA". It matches the Rfam family "Bacterial large subunit ribosomal RNA". Lineage: Bacteria; Pseudomonadati; Pseudomonadota; Gammaproteobacteria; Enterobacterales; Enterobacteriaceae. The record is from RNAcentral.
GGGUUGUGAGGUUAAGCGACUAAGCGUACACGGUGGAUGCCCUGGCAGUCAGAGGCGAUGAAGGACGUGCUAAUCUGCGAAAAGCGCCGGCGAGGUGAUAUGAACCCUUGACCCGGCGAUGUCCGAAUGGGGAAACCCAGUGUGAUUCGUCACACUAUCGUUAGCUGAAUACAUAGGCUAACGAGGCGAACCGGGGGAACUGAAACAUCUAAGUACCCCGAGGAAAAGAAAUCAACCGAGAUUCCCCCAGUAGCGGCGAGCGAACGGGGAGCAGCCCGGAGUCUGAAUCAGCUUGUGUGUUAGUGGAAGCGUCUGGAAAGUCGCAGGGUACAGGGUGAUACUCCCGUACACGAAAGCACACAUGCUGUGAACUCGAAGAGUAGGGCGGGACACGUGGUAUCCUGUCUGAAUAUGGGGGACCAUCCUCCAAGGCUAAAUACUCCUGACUGACCGAUAGUGAACCAGUACCGUGAGGGAAAGGCGAAAAGAACCCCGGCGAGGGGAGUGAAAAAGAACCUGAAACCGUGUACGUACAAGCAGUGGGAGCACCUUCGGGUGUGACUGCGUACCUUUUGUAUAAUGGGUCAGCGACUUAUAUUCUGUAGCAAGGUUAACCGUAUAGGGGAGCCGAAGGGAAACCGAGUCUUAACUGGGCGUUAAGUUGCAGGGUAUAGACCCGAAACCCGGUGAUCUAGCCAUGGGCAGGUUGAAGGUUGGGUAACACUAACUGGAGGACCGAACCGACUAAUGUUGAAAAAUUAGCGGAUGACCUGUGGCUGGGGGUGAAAGGCCAAUCAAACCGGGAGAUAGCUGGUUCUCCCCGAAAGCUAUUUAGGUAGCGCCUCGUGAACUCAUCCUCGGGGUAGAGCACUGUUUCGGCUAGGGGCCAUCCCGGCUUACCAACCCGAUGCAAACUGCGAAUACCGAGGAAUGUUAUCACGGGAGACACACGGCGGGUGCUAACGUCCGUCGUGAAGAGGGAAACAACCCAGACCGCCAGCUAAGGUCCCAAAGUCAUGGUUAAGUGGGAAACGAUGUGGGAAGGCACAGACAGCCAGGAUGUUGGCUUAGAAGCAGCCAUCAUUUAAAGAAAGCGUAAUAGCUCACUGGUCGAGUCGGCCUGCGCGGAAGAUGUAACGGGGCUAAACCAUGCACCGAAGCUGCGGCAGCGACACUAUGUGUUGUUGGGUAGGGGAGCGUUCUGUAAGCCUGCGAAGGUGUGCUGUGAGGCAUGCUGGAGGUAUCAGAAGUGCGAAUGCUGACAUAAGUAACGAUAAAGCGGGUGAAAAGCCCGCUCGCCGGAAGACCAAGGGUUCCUGUCCAACGUUAAUCGGGGCAGGGUGAGUCGACCCCUAAGGCGAGGCCGAAAGGCGUAGUCGAUGGGAAACAGGUUAAUAUUCCUGUACUCGGUGUUACUGCGAAGGGGGGACGGAGAAGGCUAUGUUGGCCGGGCGACGGUUGUCCCGGUUUAAGCAUGUAGGCGGAGGUUCCAGGUAAAUCCGGUACCUUUUAACGCUGAGGUGUGAUGACGAGGCACUACGGUGCUGAAGCAACAAAUGCCCUGCUUCCAGGAAAAGCCUCUAAGCAUCAGGUAACAUCAAAUCGUACCCCAAACCGACACAGGUGGUCAGGUAGAGAAUACCAAGGCGCUUGAGAGAACUCGGGUGAAGGAACUAGGCAAAAUGGUGCCGUAACUUCGGGAGAAGGCACGCUGAUAUGUAGGUGAAGCCCCUGCGGGUGGAGCUGAAAUCAGUCGAAGAUACCAGCUGGCUGCAACUGUUUAUUAAAAACACAGCACUGUGCAAACACGAAAGUGGACGUAUACGGUGUGACGCCUGCCCGGUGCCGGAAGGUUAAUUGAUGGGGUUAGCGGCAACGCGAAGCUCUUGAUCGAAGCCCCGGUAAACGGCGGCCGUAACUAUAACGGUCCUAAGGUAGCGAAAUUCCUUGUCGGGUAAGUUCCGACCUGCACGAAUGGCGUAAUGAUGGCCAGGCUGUCUCCACCCGAGACUCAGUGAAAUUGAAAUCGCUGUGAAGAUGCAGUGUACCCGCGGCAAGACGGAAAGACCCCGUGAACCUUUACUAUAGCUUGACACUGAACACUGGUCCUUGAUGUGUAGGAUAGGUGGGAGGCUUUGAAGUGUGGACGCCAGUCUGCAUGGAGCCGUCCUUGAAAUACCACCCUUUAAUGGCUGGUGUUCUAACGUGGACCCGUGAUCCGGGUUGCGGACAGUGUCUGGUGGGUAGUUUGACUGGGGCGGUCUCCUCCUAAAGAGUAACGGAGGAGCACGAAGGUCAGCUAAUCCUGGUCGGACAUCAGGAGGUUAGUGCAAUGGCAUAAGCUGGCUUGACUGCGAGAGUGACGGCUCGAGCAGGUGCGAAAGCAGGUCAUAGUGAUCCGGUGGUUCUGUAUGGAAGGGCCAUCGCUCAACGGAUAAAAGGUACUCCGGGGAUAACAGGCUGAUACCGCCCAAGAGUUCAUAUCGACGGCGGUGUUUGGCACCUCGAUGUCGGCUCAUCACAUCCUGGGGCUGAAGUAGGUCCCAAGGGUAUGGCUGUUCGCCAUUUAAAGUGGUACGCGAGCUGGGUUUAGAACGUCGUGAGACAGUUCGGUCCCUAUCUGCCGUGGGCGCUGGAGAAUUGAGGGGGCUGCUCCUAGUACGAGAGGACCGGAGUGGACGCAUCACUGGUGUUCGGGUUGUCAUGCCAAUGGCACUGCCCGGUAGCUAAAUGCGGAAGAGAUAAGUGCUGAAAGCAUCUAAGCACGAAACUUGCCCCGAGAUGAGUUCUCCCUGACUCCUUGAGAGUCCUGAAGGAACGUUGAAGACGACGACGUUGAUAGGCCGGGUGUGUAAGCGCAGCGAUGCGUUGAGCUAACCGGUACUAAUGAACCGUGAGGCUUAACCUUACAACGCCGAAGCUGUU